RNAcentral lists this long non-coding RNA (1506 nucleotides) under Pogona vitticeps (central bearded dragon). Its description in RNAcentral is "lncRNA (ENSPVIG00000012347.1)". Lineage: Eukaryota; Metazoa; Chordata; Lepidosauria; Squamata; Agamidae. The record is from RNAcentral.
AUGGUGCCACGAAAGGGGGUUGGAACCAAAAAGGGGAAACAGCCUGCCAAGAGGAGGCAGGUAACCCAGGUGUCACCUCCACAAUCCUCUUCUGAUGAGGAAUCAUGGCCGGUCUGGCAGAAGUUACAGAAUAAAAUCGCGACCUUAGAGGCUCAAACGCUAGGCAAACAGCCCUCUCAACCAGGCAAGGGACAGCAGCGCAGAUCAGCCAGGGAAUCUAAAAGCCAUAGGCGAGCUAGGUUAAGGGUCGUGGCACGCAAGUUAACGCAGAGAUGUGCUUCUCUUGAGUCCGCACAGAGUAUGGAUGCUUCAGCGAGGCGUGAUCAGGAUGGGGCAACUGUUGCUGCAAAAAGGCGCCGGACUAAGGAACAACAGCCACUGCCCCUGGAGGAUUUGGAGCUGGCAUAUGUAAGCCAGGAUGAACAGGACGAGAUGGAGGAGGCCGAUGGCAGUGCUCUGCAGCAUCCCAAGGACCUGGGCAGAGCAUCUACGUCCUACGGUGAGUCUGCAACCAGGUCAGUCACCCAAGCGCCUCCGGCGGCAUGGCCCUGGGCCGCGGGUGCGCCAGGGGGUUACGCGGCCAGCACACCCUACACCGCUACGAGCAUGGGGUUACCUAAUGUCUCAUGGCCUUAUGUUGCUCCACAUUUCAGUGGCUGGGGUGGUCCUUAUGUUACCCCUCCCACACAGACUCAGCCUGACAAUACAUCCGGCUCAGGGUCCUGGCCGUAUCCGGCAGUACCCAAUACAGGCUAUAACACCGUGCCUAUUGGGGCGCUUCCUUAUGGGGACUACUCGACUCCCUUGGGAGAUCAUUUGAGCCCAGCAACCAAGCAGAAAAUUUGGAAAGGAAAGUACAUUGAUGUGUUUGAAUUACUUAAUAGGGAGGUGGAGAAGAAGGAUUUGGAUGGGGAGGAUGAGAAGGAUAAAGAGAGGCGAAGGAGGAAAAAGCCAGAGAGGAUAUGGGCAAAUUGGCUCCCUGGAUUCUUAAUUUAUGUGGGAGUCAUUGUGAAAGCGCAGCCUUGGAGGGCGCAAGCCCUUUUCCAGUAUUUGGAUAUCAUUUACAGGGCCUAUACAGAUUUUGCUGGACAGGCUUGGUUGCAGUAUGACCAAGCCUUUCGUAUGAGAAGCGCCAUCCAGCCAAAUCUACGCUGGGAUGAACCGCAGCCGGGGCUCUGGCUGCAACACAUGGCGCCUUCUAGGCCCAACACAGGAGAGCUGUUCGAUAGUGGACAUCUUAAUAGGAAACCGUUAGCUCCACAAGCUACCUGCACGGGCGCGGGGCAGGGGGUUCAACCCCGCCUGCCUUGCUUUCCAUUUAAUGCCAGGGGCUUCUGUAACAAGAAGCCUUGCAAGUUUAGGCAUGAAUGCCUCACCUAUGGGGAACAGCAUGCAAAUUCCUCUUGUUUUUGGGCAGGGGCCCAGAGACACAGCAAGAACACGGGAGGUCCCAAGAAACCUAACAAUGGCGGCGGCACCUCUGGAAAAGGGGCCCAGCCCAAUUAG